This 2922-nucleotide ribosomal RNA is filed under the name Klebsiella pneumoniae. RNAcentral describes it as "23S ribosomal RNA". It matches the Rfam family "Bacterial large subunit ribosomal RNA". The record is from RNAcentral. Lineage: Bacteria; Pseudomonadati; Pseudomonadota; Gammaproteobacteria; Enterobacterales; Enterobacteriaceae.
GGGUUGUGAGGUUAAGCGACUAAGCGUACACGGUGGAUGCCCUGGCAGUCAGAGGCGAUGAAGGACGUGCUAAUCUGCGAAAAGCGUCGGUAAGGUGAUAUGAACCGUUAUAACCGGCGAUGUCCGAAUGGGGAAACCCAGUGCAAUUCGUUGCACUAUCGUUAACUGAAUACAUAGGUUAACGAGGCGAACCGGGGGAACUGAAACAUCUAAGUACCCCGAGGAAAAGAAAUCAACCGAGAUUCCCCCAGUAGCGGCGAGCGAACGGGGAGCAGCCCAGAGUCUGAAUCAGCUUGUGUGUUAGUGGAACGGUCUGGAAAGUCCGACGGUACAGGGUGAUAGUCCCGUACACCAAAAUGCACAGGUUGUGAACUCGAAGAGUAGGGCGGGACACGUGGUAUCCUGUCUGAAUAUGGGGGGACCAUCCUCCAAGGCUAAAUACUCCUGACUGACCGAUAGUGAACCAGUACCGUGAGGGAAAGGCGAAAAGAACCCCGGCGAGGGGAGUGAAAAAGAACCUGAAACCGUGUACGUACAAGCAGUGGGAGCACCUUCGGGUGUGACUGCGUACCUUUUGUAUAAUGGGUCAGCGACUUAUAUUCUGUAGCAAGGUUAACCGUAUAGGGGAGCCGCAGGGAAACCGAGUCUUAACUGGGCGUUAAGUUGCAGGGUAUAGACCCGAAACCCGGUGAUCUAGCCAUGGGCAGGUUGAAGGUUGGGUAACACUAACUGGAGGACCGAACCGACUAAUGUUGAAAAAUUAGCGGAUGACUUGUGGCUGGGGGUGAAAGGCCAAUCAAACCGGGAGAUAGCUGGUUCUCCCCGAAAGCUAUUUAGGUAGCGCCUCGUGAAUUCAUCUUCGGGGUAGAGCACUGUUUCGGCUAGGGGGUCAUCCCGACUUACCAACCCGAUGCAAACUACGAAUACCGAAGAAUGUUAUCACGGGAGACACACGGCGGGUGCUAACGUCCGUCGUGAAGAGGGAAACAACCCAGACCGCCAGCUAAGGUCCCAAAGUCAUGGUUAAGUGGGAAACGAUGUGGGAAGGCACAGACAGCCAGGAUGUUGGCUUAGAAGCAGCCAUCAUUUAAAGAAAGCGUAAUAGCUCACUGGUCGAGUCGGCCUGCGCGGAAGAUGUAACGGGGCUAAACCAUGCACCGAAGCUGCGGCAGCGACACUAUGUGUUGUUGGGUAGGGGAGCGUUCUGUAAGCCUGCGAAGGUGUGCUGUGAGGCAUGCUGGAGGUAUCAGAAGUGCGAAUGCUGACAUAAGUAACGAUAAAGCGGGUGAAAAGCCCGCUCGCCGGAAGACCAAGGGUUCCUGUCCAACGUUAAUCGGGGCAGGGUGAGUCGACCCCUAAGGCGAGGCCGAAAGGCGUAGUCGAUGGGAAACAGGUUAAUAUUCCUGUACUUGGUGUUACUGCGAAGGGGGGACGGAGAAGGCUAUGUUAGCCGGGCGACGGUUGUCCCGGUUUAAGCAUGUAGGCUGGUUAUCCAGGCAAAUCCGGAUAAUCAAGGCUGAGGUGUGAUGACGAGGCACUACGGUGCUGAAGUAACAAAUGCCCUGCUUCCAGGAAAAGCCUCUAAGCAUCAGGUAACAUCAAAUCGUACCCCAAACCGACACAGGUGGUCAGGUAGAGAAUACCAAGGCGCUUGAGAGAACUCGGGUGAAGGAACUAGGCAAAAUGGUGCCGUAACUUCGGGAGAAGGCACGCUGGUGUGUAGGUGAAGUCCCUGCGGAUGGAGCUGAGACCAGUCGAAGAUACCAGCUGGCUGCAACUGUUUAUUAAAAACACAGCACUGUGCAAACACGAAAGUGGACGUAUACGGUGUGACGCCUGCCCGGUGCCGGAAGGUUAAUUGAUGGGGUUAUCCGUAAGGAGAAGCUCUUGAUCGAAGCCCCGGUAAACGGCGGCCGUAACUAUAACGGUCCUAAGGUAGCGAAAUUCCUUGUCGGGUAAGUUCCGACCUGCACGAAUGGCGUAAUGAUGGCCAGGCUGUCUCCACCCGAGACUCAGUGAAAUUGAACUCGCUGUGAAGAUGCAGUGUACCCGCGGCAAGACGGAAAGACCCCGUGAACCUUUACUAUAGCUUGACACUGAACAUUGAGCCUUGAUGUGUAGGAUAGGUGGGAGGCUUUGAAGCGUGGACGCCAGUCUGCGUGGAGCCAACCUUGAAAUACCACCCUUUAAUGUUUGAUGUUCUAACGUUGGCCCCUUACCGGGGUUGCGGACAGUGUCUGGUGGGUAGUUUGACUGGGGCGGUCUCCUCCCAAAGCGUAACGGAGGAGCACGAAGGUUAGCUAAUCCUGGUCGGACAUCAGGAGGUUAGUGCAAUGGCAUAAGCUAGCUUGACUGCGAGCGUGACGGCGCGAGCAGGUGCGAAAGCAGGUCAUAGUGAUCCGGUGGUUCUGAAUGGAAGGGCCAUCGCUCAACGGAUAAAAGGUACUCCGGGGAUAACAGGCUGAUACCGCCCAAGAGUUCAUAUCGACGGCGGUGUUUGGCACCUCGAUGUCGGCUCAUCACAUCCUGGGGCUGAAGUAGGUCCCAAGGGUAUGGCUGUUCGCCAUUUAAAGUGGUACGCGAGCUGGGUUUAGAACGUCGUGAGACAGUUCGGUCCCUAUCUGCCGUGGGCGCUGGAGAAUUGAGGGGGGCUGCUCCUAGUACGAGAGGACCGGAGUGGACGCAUCACUGGUGUUCGGGUUGUCAUGCCAAUGGCACUGCCCGGUAGCUAAAUGCGGAAGAGAUAAGUGCUGAAAGCAUCUAAGCACGAAACUUGCCCCGAGAUGAGUUCUCCCUGAGACUUUAAGUCUCCUGAAGGAACGUUAAAGACGAUGACGUUGAUAGGCCGGGUGUGUAAGCGCAGCGAUGCGUUGAGCUAACCGGUACUAAUGAACCGUGAGGCUUAACCUUACAACGCCGAAG